AUCCCUUUGUAGUUUAUAAGCACGAUGAUUGAGUGUUCGCACUAUUGUGUGACACGCACCUCCCUCAAACCUUGUUACAAUAUUGGCACAUCACCCAUGUGAAA
Molecule: small nucleolar RNA, 104 nt
Organism: Hyaena hyaena (striped hyena)
Lineage: Eukaryota; Metazoa; Chordata; Mammalia; Carnivora; Hyaenidae
Product: small nucleolar RNA U13
Exons: 1
Source: RefSeq, a predicted model, not a curated record